RNAcentral lists this ribosomal RNA (461 nucleotides) under uncultured bacterium. RNAcentral's name for it is "partial 16S ribosomal RNA". It matches the Rfam family "Bacterial small subunit ribosomal RNA", at positions 337 to 795 of the family's 1533-position model. The record is from RNAcentral.
CCCUACGUGAGGCAGCAGUGAGGAAUAUUGGUCAAUGGCCGGAAGGCUGAACCAGCCAUGCCGCGUGAAGGUCAGUGCCCUAUGGGCGUUAAACUUCUUUUGUGCGGGAGCAAUAAUGGUCACGUGUGGCCAGACGAGAGUACCGUACGAAUAAGCAGCGGCUAACUCCGUGCCCGCAGGCGCGGUAAUACGGGGGAUGCAAGCGUUAACCGGAUUUAUUGGGUUUAAAGGGUGCGUAGGCUGUGAGGUAAGUCCGCGGUGAAAUGCCCCCGCUCAACGGGGUGAAGUGCCAUUGAUACUGCCGUGCUGGAAUGCGGAUGCCGUGGGAGGAAUGUGUGGUGUAGCAGUGAAAUGCAUAGAUAUCACACAGAACACCGAUUGCGAAGGCGUCUCACGAAUCCGCGAUUGACGCUGAUGCACGAAAGCGUGGGUAUCAAACAGGAUUAGAUACCCUUGUAGUC